UGAGUAAAUCUGGUGAUCGCGGGUACCAGUGCCGAAAGGCGGUGCCCGAGGAAAGUCCGAGCUCCAUAGGGCAGGGUGCUGGGUAAUCCCCAGUGGGGGCGACCCCAAGGAAAGUGCCACAGAAAUAAACCGCCAAUUUGAGAGGUGGGAAGUGAGAGGUUAGAGUUGGCAGAGGCGAAGGGUAAUUAUUUCUCACGUCCAACUUCUCAAUACCCACUUCUCAAGUGGUAAGGAUGGAACGGUGCGGUAAGAGCGCACCAAAUUUUUGAAAAGCCGGCCGGCUAGGUAAACCCCACCUGGAGCAAGACCGAAUAGAGGAGCAUAGGGGCGGCCCGCUCCGCUCCCGGGUAAGGUCGCUUGAGGCGGCUGGUAACAGUCGUCCCAGAUAGAUGAUCAUCCACGACAGAACUCGGCUUACGAUUUGCUCACUUG
This 432-nucleotide RNase P RNA is filed under the name Bacillota bacterium. RNAcentral describes it as "RNase P RNA component class A". It matches the Rfam family "Bacterial RNase P class A". Rfam says of the family: Ribonuclease P (RNase P) is a ubiquitous endoribonuclease, found in archaea, bacteria and eukarya as well as chloroplasts and mitochondria. Its best characterised activity is the generation of mature 5'-ends of tRNAs by cleaving the 5'-leader elements of precursor-tRNAs. The record is from RNAcentral. Lineage: Bacteria; Bacillati; Bacillota.